GAGAACAUGGGCAAUCACCUCCUCGUCAGGAGCUAGUGUCACACUUCUCACACCCCUGCCAGCUUCAGGCGUGGGCUCUGGUGUGCGGAGCAGGGGCAGCUGUCCUGCAGGGCCGAGUGCUAAAAUGGAAGAUACUCUGUACUCAGAGGCCAGCCUUCUUGAGGCUCUCUUCAUGCUACAGCCAGCUUUGCCGACGCUCAGCCCUGCCCCCACCACUCUUCACUGAAGAGAGGGACCACAGUGACUGGGGAGAAGGAGGAACAUUUGGUCUGUGCGCUGCAGUGAGAGACUUACCAGAAGCUGCUUCUUCUGUCUGAAUCGCACCGUGUGAUUGUAAACAUUGAUGAGAAUCUCUUUGAGCAAAGAAAUCUGAUUGCCAUAGACUUCCACUUGCACUGACUUCACAUAAGAGACUUUGGUGUUGGCACCUCUGUGUUCAUUCGUUGUGGACACAUGAAAGUAUGGAAGCCCCUGAGAGACGUUGCACAAUUUCGAGAGGGUGUAAGAGCAAUUUCCCAUGAAAUUAUGAACUCUGUGGUCAAAAGUAUUAUAAUGUGGAUCCCCAGAGGCACUGCAGGAAGCAUGGCCUAGGAAGAAAGAAAAAGAAAGAUAGAACAAUUCCUUCUGAAUCUCUAACAGACUUCUGCAACCACUGUGCCCCCAUCAGACACUUCAUUUUACUUUGUAAUUGCUGCUCAGAUAUAACAGUGAUGGCAUCAGUGAGCAACAGAGUACAAAAGAGUCAUGCAAACUUUCCACAGAGAAAAUGCCAUUCUACUGUAACUGGAAGUCACCUAGAUACUCUCACAACUCCUGAAGGUCAUACCACCUGAUUCAGGGAUUCAUUGGAUGUAAAGUAAAUAGAGAUCCACCAUCUGCAGCUUGAGAUCAGGAGUCAAUCUGAAUCAUGCACAUUCAUCUAAAUAGGAUUUUCGAGCCUACAACUGCCUUGAGACUGAAAUCAAGACGUUCCAAAGCCCAGCCCAGACUCUCGUCUUUGAAGCCAUAAAGAAUCAGUAUCUCUGUGUACCAGAAAACUAUGCUAGAGGUUGAAGCAGAAAUACGAGCAAGAUGUAUCAUGUUGAUAUGAGGACAUCAGUAUGUAAGGCAGAGCAGUGAGUGUUUCAUGUCCAAGUCUGAAAUGCUAUUUCAGACUGAAUAGGAAGAACUUACUCAAAACCUUUUCAUGGCUGGUUAGCCAGAACAAACUGGUGCACUAUCAGCUGUCUGGGGUUCUGUACUCAUGUUGAUUAUAGAAUCUCUAUUGAAUAGUGUAUGCAUGACACCUCGUAGCCAGUGAUAAUAUGUACAGCUUGAGGUCUUCAGUGUGUGUGUGUCUGUGUGUGUGUGCACAUGCUGG
Molecule: long non-coding RNA, 1360 nt
Filed under: Apteryx rowi (Okarito brown kiwi)
Lineage: Eukaryota; Metazoa; Chordata; Aves; Apterygiformes; Apterygidae
Description: lncRNA (ENSARWG00000004060.1)
Source: RNAcentral